RNAcentral lists this long non-coding RNA (206 nucleotides) under Lathyrus oleraceus (garden pea). RNAcentral's name for it is "Pisum sativum (pea) long non-coding RNA (PSAT_LNC036373)". Lineage: Eukaryota; Viridiplantae; Streptophyta; Magnoliopsida; Fabales; Fabaceae. The record is from RNAcentral.
UGAGAUAUAUCCUCGUGGAUGACGGUUUCUUCCGUUUCCUCCCAACACAUAUAUUGGGAUGGAUAUUCCUAUUUGAGUUAUAUCCGCAUUAGGAUGAGUCUUGAUUCAGUCUGUCUUUUCCGUUUGAUCCUGAAUUGGCAUUUUUCAACUGUUUUUUGUGCUUCCCUGUGGAAUGAAUGAAUGAAUUUCCCAGUAACCGACAAUAA